ACAGCAGUAGCCGCGGUAAUACGUAGGGUGCAAGCGUUAAUCGGAAUUACUGGGCGUAAAGCGUGCGCAGGCGGUUUUGUAAGACAGAGGUGAAAUCCCCGGGCUCAACCUGGGAACUGCCUUUGUGACUGCAAGGCUAGAGUACGGCAGAGGGGGAUGGAAUUCCGCGUGUAGCAGUGAAAUGCGUAGAUAUGCGGAGGAACACCGAUGGCGAAGGCAAUCCCCUGGGCCUGUACUGACGCUCAUGCACGAAAGCGUGGGGAGCAAACAGGAUUAGAUACCCGCGUAGUCCCUGUCUCUUAUAA
This 305-nucleotide ribosomal RNA is filed under the name uncultured bacterium. RNAcentral describes it as "partial 16S ribosomal RNA". It matches the Rfam family "Bacterial small subunit ribosomal RNA", at positions 506 to 809 of the family's 1533-position model. The record is from RNAcentral.